GUCAUGCUUGAGCACUUUUUCAAUGGGCUCCCCAAUGACAAGGCGACGACGCAUUCGUAUGUCAUCCAUAUCAACUUUCGAUGCCAUUUACUGCGCCUACCAUGGUGACCACGGGUAACGGGGAAUCAGGGUUUUAUUCCUGAGAGAGAGCCUCAGAAAUGGCUACCACAUGCAAGGAAGGCAGCAGGUG
This is a non-coding RNA of Pelobates cultripes (western spadefoot toad), 190 nucleotides long. Lineage: Eukaryota; Metazoa; Chordata; Amphibia; Anura; Pelobatidae. The record is from the annotation of a GenBank genome assembly.